GCGAACGCUGGCGGCAGGCUUCACACAUGCAAGUCGAGCGGGCACUUUCGGGUGUCAGCGGCGGACGGGUGAGUAACGCGUGGGAACGUGCCCUCUGGUUCGGAAUAACUCAGGGAAACUUGAGCUAAUACCGGAUACGCCCUUUUGGGGAAAGGCUUGCUGCCGGAGGAUCGGCCCGCGUCUGAUUAGCUAGUUGGUGAGGUAACGGCUCACCAAGGCGACGAUCAGUAGCUGGUCUGAGAGGAUGAUCAGCCACACUGGGACUGAGACACGGCCCAGACUCCUACGGGAGGCAGCAGUGGGGAAUAUUGGACAAUGGGCGCAAGCCUGAUCCAGCCAUGCCGCGUGAGUGAUGAAGGCCUUAGGGUUGUAAAGCUCUUUUAUCCGGGACGAUAAUGACGGUACCGGAGGAAUAAGCCCCGGCUAACUUCGUG
Molecule: ribosomal RNA, 434 nt
Filed under: uncultured bacterium
Lineage: Bacteria
Description: partial 16S ribosomal RNA
Rfam family: Bacterial small subunit ribosomal RNA
Source: RNAcentral